RNAcentral lists this ribosomal RNA (431 nucleotides) under uncultured bacterium. RNAcentral describes it as "partial 16S ribosomal RNA". It matches the Rfam family "Bacterial small subunit ribosomal RNA", at positions 30 to 507 of the family's 1533-position model. The record is from RNAcentral.
CGAACGCUGGCGGCAUGCCUAACACAUGCAAAUCGAACGAGACCUUCGGGUCUAGUGGCGCCCGGGUGCGUAACGCGUGGGAACCUGCCCUUAGGUUCGGAAUAACUCCCCGAAAGGGGUGCUAAUACCGGAUAAUGUCUUCGGACCAAAGAUUUAUCGCCUUUGGAUGGGCCCGCGUUGGAUUAGCUAGUUGGUAGGGUAAAAGCCUACCAAGGCGACGAUCCAUAGCUGGUCUGAGAGGAUGAUCAGCCACACUGGGACUGAGACACGGCCCAGACUCCUACGGGAGGCAGCAGUGGGGAAUAUUGGACAAUGGGCGAAAGCCUGAUCCAGCAAUGCCGCGUGAGUGAUGAAGGCCUUAGGGUUGUAAAGCUCUUUUACCCGGGAUGAUAAUGACAGUACCGGGAGAAUAAGCUCCGGCUAACUCCGUG